CAAGUCGAACGGUAGAGGGGGCAACCCUUGAGAGUGGCGAACGGGUGAGUAAUAUAUCGGAACGUGCCCAGUCGUGGGGGGAUAACGUAGCGAAAGCUACGCUAAUACCGCAUACGAUCUAUGGAUGAAAGCGGGGGAUCGCAAGACCUCGCGCGAUUGGAGCGGCCGAUAUCAGAUUAGGUAGUUGGUGAGGUAAAGGCUCACCAAGCCGACGAUCUGUAGCUGGUCUGAGAGGACGACCAGCCACACUGGGACUGAGACACGGCCCAGACUCCUACGGGAGGCAGCAGUGGGGAAUUUUGGACAAUGGGCGCAAGCCUGAUCCAGCAAUGCCGCGUGCAGGAUGAAGGCCUUCGGGUUGUAAACUGCUUUUGUACGGAACGAAACGGUGAGCUCUAAUACAGUUUGCUAAUGACGGUACCGUAAGAAUAAGCACCGGCUAACUACGUG
RNAcentral lists this ribosomal RNA (450 nucleotides) under uncultured bacterium. RNAcentral describes it as "bacterial SSU rRNA". It matches the Rfam family "Bacterial small subunit ribosomal RNA", at positions 58 to 507 of the family's 1533-position model. The record is from RNAcentral.